Molecule: ribosomal RNA, 475 nt
Filed under: beta proteobacterium Z32
Lineage: Bacteria; Pseudomonadati; Pseudomonadota; Betaproteobacteria
Description: bacterial SSU rRNA
Rfam family: Bacterial small subunit ribosomal RNA
Source: RNAcentral
AGCAAUGCCGCGUGAGUGAAGAAGGCCUUCGGGUUGUAAAGCUCUUUUGUCAGGGAAGAAACACCGGCUCUAACACAGUCCGGGAAUGACGGUACCUGAAGAAUAAGCACCGGCUAACUACGUGCCAGCAGCCGCGGUAAUACGUAGGGUGCGAGCGUUAAUCGGAAUUACUGGGCGUAAAGCGUGCGCAGGCGGUUAUACAAGACAGGCGUGAAAUCCCCGGGCUUAACCUGGGAAUGGCGCCUGUGACUGUAUAGCUAGAGUGUGUCAGAGGGGGGUAGAAUUCCACGUGUAGCAGUGAAAUGCGUAGAUAUGUGGAGGAAUACCAAUGGCGAAGGCAGCCCCCUGGGAUAACACUGACGCUCAUGCACGAAAGCGUGGGGAGCAAACAGGAUUAGAUACCCUGGUAGUCCACGCCCUAAACGAUGCUGACUAGUUGUUCGGGAUUUACAUCCUGAGUAACGUAGCUAACGCG